GACGAACGCUGGCGGCGUGCCUAAUACAUGCAAGUAGAACGCUGAAGAGAGGAGCUUGCUCUUCUUGGAUGAGUUGCGAACGGGUGAGUAACGCGUAGGUAACCUGCCUUGUAGCGGGGGAUAACUAUUGGAAACGAUAGCUAAUACCGCAUAACAAUGGAUGACACCUGUCAUUUAUUUGAAAGGGGCAAUUGCUCCACUACAAGAUGGACCUGCGUUGUAUUAGCUAGUAGGUGAGGUAAUGGCUCACCUAGGCGACGAUACAUAGCCGACCUGAGAGGGUGAUCGGCCACACUGGGACUGAGACACGGCCCAGACUACUACGGGAGGCAGCAGUAGGGAAUCUUCGGCAAUGGGGGCAACCCUGACCGAGCAACGCCGCGUGAGUGAAGAAGGUUUUCGGAUCGUAAAGCUCUGUUGUAAGUCAAGAACGGGUGUGAGAGUGGAAAGUUCACACUGUGACGGUAGCUUACCAGAAAGAGACGGCUAACUACGUG
This 497-nucleotide ribosomal RNA is filed under the name uncultured bacterium. RNAcentral describes it as "partial 16S ribosomal RNA". It matches the Rfam family "Bacterial small subunit ribosomal RNA", at positions 28 to 507 of the family's 1533-position model. The record is from RNAcentral.